This 306-nucleotide long non-coding RNA is filed under the name Setaria italica (foxtail millet). Its description in RNAcentral is "long non-coding RNA (SITA_LNC004508)". The record is from RNAcentral. Lineage: Eukaryota; Viridiplantae; Streptophyta; Magnoliopsida; Poales; Poaceae.
GAGUUUUGUUUAUGCGUGAGUCUUGAGAGGCUUGCAACACUUGUUCUUUCGAUUCCUGAGGGAGUUGUAGAACGCCGAACUGCGGUUCAUCCAGUUCGUGCCUUCACGUCUAUAGGGCGUGAUUGCGUGGGCUGUUUCGUCGGUACGUGGAAGGGUGAUUGUCUCGGUAGUUCGUCGCGUGGACAGCCUCGUGGUGCACUGCCUCUUCACCAGGUCACGCAGCGACAAGUUAUCAAGUUCGCGGAUCCUACGAGAAGAUCGGGCCACACAACUUGCUACACGCGUUGCAUAGGCGUGUGCAUAUCA